Sitodiplosis mosellana (orange wheat blossom midge) is the source of this 584-nucleotide long non-coding RNA. RefSeq lists it as uncharacterized. NCBI's taxonomy places the organism in Eukaryota, Metazoa, Arthropoda, Insecta, Diptera, Cecidomyiidae. The record is from RefSeq and is a predicted model, not a curated record. The transcript has 2 exons.
UGAAUUUGGAACAAGAGAUGAAGAAAAUGUCGGUAUUUGGGCUUUUGGGUUAAUUGUUAUUGUUCUCGGCGGAUUCGCAAUACUCUAUUACUUAAGCAUGAUGGACGGACACAUCAAAUAUUUGAUUUUCGUUGCCGUUUGAACAGCACACAGUGCCCAUGCGAUAAGCUUUCAUUGGGACAAGGCGCCAAAAUAUUUGAAUCUUUAAAUUGCCCAUUUGCUCAAUCGUGUGUACACAUUUCGAGAGUCUUAAAUAUUUCUAUGCACACGUGUUUAGUGUUAAACCGAUUUAUCACUAUUAACAUUUUCCUAAAAAAUUGUUCAAUUAGCACCCGUCUACCGGUUUUAAAUUCCAAACCGAAAAUAAAUACAGAUGCGUACUACGUCAAACAUGAAUGUUUUCGUUGCGUUAUUGCUGAAAUCAUGGGAUUUAAUAGGAAAUCAAUGACAUAGCCCAUUGGAUCAUAUAACGAUCCAAAAUCAAAAAUAAAAAUCCAACUCAAAUACUGUCGUCCAAAACAAAGUAGCUUUCUCUCUCGACAUUUACGCAUCCAAAUGUUUGCUUUCGGCAAUAAAAAAAGAAA